UACAGAGGGUGCAAGCGUUGUUCGGAAUCACUGGGCGUAAAGCGCGUGUAGGCGGCAAGGUAAGUCGGAUGUGAAAUCCCUGGGCUCAACCUAGGAAGUGCAUCCGAUACUGCAUUGCUUGAGUGUCGGAGGGGAUGGCGGAAUUCCCGGUGUAGAGGUGAAAUUCGUAGAUAUCGGGAGGAACACCUGUGGCGAAGGCGGCCAUCUGGACGAUUACUGACGCUGAGACGCGAAAGCGUGGGGAGCAAACAGG
Molecule: unclassified non-coding RNA, 253 nt
Filed under: uncultured Myxococcales bacterium
Lineage: Bacteria; Pseudomonadati; Myxococcota; Myxococcia; Myxococcales
Description: contains 16S-23S intergenic spacer region
Rfam family: Bacterial small subunit ribosomal RNA
Source: RNAcentral